This is an RNA transcript of Alnus glutinosa, 1978 nucleotides long. RefSeq lists it as uncharacterized. Lineage: Eukaryota; Viridiplantae; Streptophyta; Magnoliopsida; Fagales; Betulaceae. The transcript is spliced from 4 exons. The record is from RefSeq and is a predicted model, not a curated record.
CGACUCCACAUAGUUUUCAACUUUUCAGAUCUAUCUCCCUUCCUCUCCUCUCCACACACAGAAAGUCAAUAACAUACAGGCGCUAUAUAUUGUUUGGGUUGCUCCCCAUCGACGGCCACCUCAAGAACUGCUAAAUUAUCUUCCAUCCAGUGGGAGGCGGACAUCGAAGCCCUAAAGCCUCAAAUCCUUUCUUUCUCGCUCUCUCUACACUACUCUCUCUGUAGUUAAAUGGAGUUCAAGUUUCGAGCCGUCGAUGACCGACCGCCAAUAUGUCCCAACCCUCCUUCCAGCGUCAGCUACUUUACCGAGCACGCAUUCAGAGGCCCGGGACCAAUGCGAAAUCCGAGUGACGUUCGUGAAGCGAUCGAGUGGGAGCUCGAGAAGGACCGGAUUAGAGAAGAUAUAAUCGUCGCCGAUAUCACUCGGCGUCGAAUGCUCGAGGCGGAGGUGAGGACGGCGCUGAUGAUCGAGCGAGAGAUGGCAAUGCGGAGGCUUGCCUCCAUUGCCACGCCCGAGGGGUUGUUGUUCGAGGAGCGAUUCGCAAUGCGGUUUGACCCGAGGUUGCCGCCGCCGAUGCACCCAUUCGAAAGUUUCGCAGUUCCCGGUUACGGUGGUGCAUUCGAUACGUUUCCGAUGAUGCCGCGGUUACUGGAGGCAAUGCCGCUUGAUAUCAAGCCUCCCCGGGAGAUUAACAAGGAUAAGCUGAUCGUACUGGCUAAGCCCGACCCAAAUCUUUCUGGAACAAAGCGGAAAGCUGUGACACCACCUGCAGGGAGCACUAGUGAGCUCCCACCAUUUGGUUUGAAGAAGAGACCUAAGGAGGAGUGGAGUUGUGCCCUCUGUCAGGUCAGUGCCACAAGCGAGAGAGGUUUCAAUGAACACCUUCAAGGUAAGAAGCACAAGGCCAAAGAAGCACGGCUUAUAGCUCAGACAAUGGGAAAAAUUGCCAGCUCAACACCACUGCCAAAGGAAACUACAAAGCCUUCUAAGCUUACAGCUACCACUGAUAUCAGAAGCUCAGGACUGCAGGCAAGAGUAGGAGGGGAAUCACUUCACCAGAAUAAAACUGGGGAUGGUUCAGACCAGAAAAUGGAGAUUACAGAAGAUUUGAAGAAUGAUAAUGAGCAGGUUCUGCUGCAGAAAAACCAAAAUGCAGAAGAUUCUAAGACAAAUGGCAUGGCAACAGACCAGGGAGCUGAGAAAAUUACAGAAUUUAAGAGGAAGAAAUUUAAGUUUUGGUGUGAAAUGUGUCAAAUUGGCGCUUACUCUCAGGUGGUGAUGGAGGGUCAUAAAAAGGGGAAAAGGCACAGGUUGACGCUUCAGGAACUUGGUCAAAAAGAUGGAUUUAAUGUGACCACAUCUUUCAUGGCAGCACCUGCUAAUACUCAGAAGGAAGUAGAUACAGAUUUAGUGGCCAAAGAAUAAGUCAGAUGCUACUCAAAAUGCAGAAGGUGAAGAUGUAAUGGCCAAAGAAGCAAAUGAAAAGACAGCAGAAACUGUUAUUGCAGAUGAAGAAAAAUCAGUGAUUGUGAUGGAUUCUACAUAGCAACGGCUCUAGGCGGCCCUUUAAAUUCUUCCAUCAUUUCUUACAAUGUUCCUGAUUGAUGUGGAAAAAUUCUUUUUCCAUGCUUGAAAAUGAGUCUGGUACCAUCUGCUUAUGUGGAUGUCCCCAUGUUGUAUUUCAGUACUUAGAUUCUCUCAUGAUAGAAAGCAUAUUGAAUCAUCUUUUGCUGUCCUUGAGAGUGUAGCAUGCCUAGUGCAACAAGGCAAGCUUCUUAUUUGACAGGCUGAACUUAGAAGAGGUGUUCUGAAGUCUUCAGACCACUGGUCAAAGCCGCUUGUACUUGACUUUCAUGUGAAGGGGCUUCUUCUGAGGUAGAUAUGAUGCCGGUCCUUGUUCUAUAGCAACUCCUGUCCUGAUGAGAGUAAGCUCUAUUAACCUAUGUAUAUAUAUAUAUAUAUGCCCUUUUACUCUUUG